RNAcentral lists this long non-coding RNA (496 nucleotides) under Ananas comosus (pineapple). Its description in RNAcentral is "long non-coding RNA (ACOM_LNC014464)". The record is from RNAcentral. Lineage: Eukaryota; Viridiplantae; Streptophyta; Magnoliopsida; Poales; Bromeliaceae.
ACCGGAUCUAUUUAGGUCAAAAUCCAUCCACAGUGAAUCUGUCAUCCAUCUCAGAUCGUACAUGCCAAACAUUUUCAAUAUCCUUUUCUAUUCUCAAGAGUGGUGUGGGAAAAGAUAAAAUGUAAACGACAAAAUACAGAUCAAUUCAAAUCCUAUUACUACGAUCCAACCCGCUAACAUUAAUAACUCGUUAAGUCAAAACUAUCGAACCAAAAUUCUCAGGUCCAAUUAUCAACAUUAAAGUCUGUGAUCUUUAUAUUUUCUACCAACAUAGACUUUUCUGUUCAGACUAUGCAAUUUUCAUCAAAUCUCAUUCUAUAACCAAAGAUCACCUCACGAUGUAAGAGGCUAUUUCACCCAUCUGGCUAAUAGAUCAGCUUUGAUAGCAAAUAUAACGAUCUGUUCACUAACACUAAUAAUUCGUUGGAUUUAAACUACUCUAAUCCUUAUAUUCUCAACCAUAAUCUAUUUCUAAUAUAAUGCACGACUAUUAUUA